RNAcentral lists this ribosomal RNA (284 nucleotides) under uncultured bacterium. RNAcentral's name for it is "partial 16S ribosomal RNA". It matches the Rfam family "Bacterial small subunit ribosomal RNA", at positions 1 to 290 of the family's 1533-position model. The record is from RNAcentral.
UAGUGAGUUUGAUCCUGGCUCAGGAUGAACGCUGGCGUCGUGCUUAACACAUGCAAGUCGAACGAUGAUCUCCAGCUUGCUGGGGGGAUUAGUGGCGAACGGGUGAGUAACACGUAACUGACCUACCCCGUAGUCCCGCACAACGGUCCGAAAGGACCGCUAAUUCGGGAUGUGAACCCGCACCGUGGUGCGUGUUUAAAGAUUCAUCGCUAUGGGAUGGGGGUUGCGGCGCAUCAGCUUGUUGGUGAGGUAAACGGCUCACCAAGGCAACGACGCGUAACCGG